CCUACGGGAGGCAGCAGUGGGGAAUAUUGCACAAUGGGCGAAAGCCUGAUGCAGCAACGCCGCGUGAGCGAUGAAGGCUUUCGGGUCGUAAAGCUCUGUCCUAAGGGAAGAUAAUGACGGUACCUUAGGAGGAAGCCCCGGCUAACUACGUGCCAGCAGCCGCGGUAAU
This 169-nucleotide ribosomal RNA is filed under the name uncultured Clostridiaceae bacterium. RNAcentral's name for it is "partial 16S ribosomal RNA". It matches the Rfam family "Bacterial small subunit ribosomal RNA", at positions 338 to 524 of the family's 1533-position model. The record is from RNAcentral. Lineage: Bacteria; Bacillati; Bacillota; Clostridia; Eubacteriales; Clostridiaceae.